UCCCUGGUGGCUCAGACGGUAGAGAAUCUGCCUGCAAAGAAGGAGGCCCAGGUUCAGUCCCUGGUUUGGGAA
Molecule: transfer RNA, 72 nt
Filed under: Bos taurus (domestic cattle)
Lineage: Eukaryota; Metazoa; Chordata; Mammalia; Artiodactyla; Bovidae
Also listed under: 2 other names
Rfam family: tRNA
About the family: Transfer RNA (tRNA) molecules are approximately 80 nucleotides in length.
Source: Rfam by way of RNAcentral